RNAcentral lists this ribosomal RNA (497 nucleotides) under uncultured bacterium. RNAcentral describes it as "partial 16S ribosomal RNA". It matches the Rfam family "Bacterial small subunit ribosomal RNA", at positions 28 to 507 of the family's 1533-position model. The record is from RNAcentral.
GAUGAACGCUGGCGGCGUGCCUAAUACAUGCAAGUCGAGCGAACGGACGAGAAGCUUGCUUCUCUGAUGUUAGCGGCGGACGGGUGAGUAACACGUGGAUAACCUACCUAUAAGACUGGGAUAACUUCGGGAAACCGGCGCUAAUACCGGAUGAUAUUUUGAACCGCAUGGUUCAAAAGUGAAAGACGGUCUUGCUGUCACUUAUAGAUGGAUCCGCGCUGCAUUAGCUAGUUGGUAAGGUAACGGCUUACCAAGGCAACGAUGCAUAGCCGACCUGAGAGGGUGAUCGGCCACACUGGAACUGAGACACGGUCCAGACUCCUACGGGAGGCAGCAGUAGGGAAUCUGCCGCAAUGGGCGAAAGCCUGACGGAGCAACGCCGCGUGAGUGAUGAAGGUCUUCGGAUCGUAAAACUCUGUUAUUAGGGAAGAACAUAUGUGUAAGUAACUGUGCACAUCUUGACGGUACCUAGUCAGAAAGCCACGGCUAACUACGUG